GGGGCACCUGGACGCAGCAAUACCGCGGUGAAUGAAGAAGGUCUUCGGAUCGUAAAGUUCUGUUAUUGGGGAAGAACAAAGACGGUACCCAAGGAGAAAGUCCCGGCUAACUACGUGCCAGCAGCCGCGGUAAUACGUAGGGGACAAGCGUUGUCCGGAUUUACUGGGCGUGAAGGGCACGCAGGCGGUUUUUUAAGUCAGAUGUGAAAGGUCCCGGCUCAACCGGGGAACGGCAUUUGAAACUGGAGAACUUGAGUAUUGGAGAGGCAAGUGGAAUUCCUAGUGUAGCGGUGAAAUGCGUAGAGAUUAGGAGGAACACCAGUGGCGAAGGCGGCUUGCUGGACAAAUACUGACGCUGAGGUGCGAAAGCGUGGGGAGCAGACAGGAUUAGAUACCCUGGUAGUCCACGCCGUAAACGAUGAGUGCUAGGUGUUGGGGGAACUCAGUGCCGCAGUUAACACAAUAAGCACUCCGCCUGGGGAGUACGACCGCAAGGUUGAAACUCAAAGGAAUGGACGGAAUCACUAGUGA
Molecule: ribosomal RNA, 531 nt
Filed under: uncultured Acetobacterium sp.
Lineage: Bacteria; Bacillati; Bacillota; Clostridia; Eubacteriales; Eubacteriaceae
Description: bacterial SSU rRNA
Rfam family: Bacterial small subunit ribosomal RNA
Source: RNAcentral